Balearica pavonina (black crowned-crane) is the source of this 107-nucleotide non-coding RNA. The record is from Rfam. NCBI's taxonomy places the organism in Eukaryota, Metazoa, Chordata, Aves, Gruiformes, Gruidae.
AUGUUCUCUUUGGCAGCAUAUAUACUAAAAUUUGAAUGAUACAGAGAAGAUUAGCAUGGAACCUGCAAAAGUUGUUUUGGGGAUGGUGGGAAGGCUCCACAGUAUGG